Molecule: ribosomal RNA, 383 nt
Filed under: uncultured bacterium
Lineage: Bacteria
Description: bacterial SSU rRNA
Rfam family: Bacterial small subunit ribosomal RNA
Source: RNAcentral
GACGAACGCUGGCGGCGUGCUUAACACAUGCAAGUCGAGCGGUAGCGCGGGAGCAAUCCUGGCGGCGAGCGGCGGACGGGUGAGUAACGCUUGGGAAUCUGCCUGUUAGUGGGGGACAACCCGGGGAAACUCGGGCUAAUACCGCAUACGCACUACGGUGGAAAGCCGGGGACCGCAAGGCCUGGCGCUAACAGAUGAGCCCAAGUCGGAUUAGCUAGUUGGUAGGGUAACGGCCUACCAAGGCGACGAUCCGUAACUGGUCUGAGAGGACGACCAGUCACACCGGAACUGAGACACGGUCCGGACUCCUACGGGAGGCAGCAGUGGGAAUUUUGGACAAUGGGGGCAACCCUGAUCCAGCCAUGCCGCGUGCGGGAAGAAGG